This is a long non-coding RNA of Salvelinus fontinalis (brook trout), 432 nucleotides long. RefSeq lists it as uncharacterized. The transcript is spliced from 3 exons. The record is from RefSeq and is a predicted model, not a curated record. NCBI's taxonomy places the organism in Eukaryota, Metazoa, Chordata, Actinopteri, Salmoniformes, Salmonidae.
UCAGUUGUCUGCCGAUGGUUCACUGACGUUUUUUCAAAGGAAGUAUUAGUAUUACCUCUAAACAGCCUACAACAAUAAGCUACACAUCAUGUCAGACGACAGCAAGAACGUGAAAUGGGAGGAUCAUCCGGAUGACCAAAAUAAAGUUGUGGAGAAUAUGAAGGAGGAAACAGAGACACAUGAUACCAACAAGAACAGGACAGGAGGCAAGGCUAAACGUAAGUCCAGUGGCCGUGCCAAGAAGACUUCCGUGGAGGAGGACAGCAGCAUUGGUGCAGGUCCGAGAUGACUUCAUGUUGGGUGCAGGUUGUGUUCAAAUUCAUCAGCACUGAUCUGAGAAGAUAGUAUCUAUAUAGGUGAAAGCAAUAUAGUAGAGGCCCGCAGAGAGAUGUGCUUUUACCUGUCCAGUGCAAUCAAAUCACUAAAGGUGAA